CUCCUGCACCGGCGGUAGUGCUGCUGUUUUGCUGCGUGUCCUCCUCGCGUCUACACCGUCCAUCUCGGACACUAUUUCCAUCAUGGUGGACAUUUUGUUGUUGAUGUUCUUCGCCAUCGUCGGCCUCGUCUUCCUUUCCUACAUCAUCUACUUGCUGUAAUAAUGAUGAUGAUGAUGAUGAUGAUGAUGAAGCGUCCUGCUCAGCCACAGAGGCGGCCGGUGCACAGGAGUACACAGGAUGUGUGCUUUUCCUCUCCUGCAUCCCUGGUGUCCAUCAUGGACAAUGGGAGAAGAGCCAGGGUCCAGCCACGAUGGUUUCCCCAUUGGAGCUCUCAUGUAGGAGGUGAAGAGCAGUCAAGCUGAGGGGCAAAACAAAUGGGGAAGAAGUGGAAGCCAAACUCUUUUUUGCCUCUCUAUCUCCCACUUGCACUCUGUCAUCAUCCCCCUCUUCCUUUACUGGCCCAGGAUCCUACAAGCAAAAUCUCACUCCAGGAGCUCCCAUUUACUUGUUUUGCAAUCAGUCCAACCAGUGUGGUUUCUACUCAAGGUUGUGCGCUCUCAAAAGGGGGAGAAAUGUAACCUCUGCACAAGUCCAGUAAAUUUGUAGAUACGGAUACAGGACGGUGUUGUGGACUUGAGCGUAAAACAAGUGUGUAGAGUUUGCCUUUUUGACAACACUGUGAGCUAGUUGUUGGCUCUAACUGUAAUAUGUAGUGUGGUUUGACUGUGUGGCCAACCCCUCUGUACGUUUCGUAUGUUUUGUCAAAAGAGCCUCAGACUUUUCAUAUGUUCAGCCUUGACAUCAGUGUUACUUUACUCACGUGUUGCCAAGAUGUUCUUAUUACAAUCAAGAUUCCCUAUCAGGUUAAAGGGGAACAUUUUAGUCAUAUAACUAGUUAUAUAGAGUUAUGUCUUUCUGAUUUUGUUUCUUACUUUGGCUACAGGUGACAUCAGGAGGGUGUCAUUACAGAAAUAACUCCACUGUAUGUGCUUCUCAGUUUUACCACCAAACCUCAAUUAAAUUGUGUAUUAUAUAAAUAAUGUUGAGUUUAUUGAUGCACUGAUGAUGUACCUAGGUAAAUGGCAGUAUUUCACAAGAUAUGUCAAAUAAAGGUGAUUUCUGUAAACCUA
Epinephelus lanceolatus (giant grouper) is the source of this 1131-nucleotide long non-coding RNA. RefSeq lists it as uncharacterized. NCBI's taxonomy places the organism in Eukaryota, Metazoa, Chordata, Actinopteri, Perciformes, Serranidae. The record is from RefSeq and is a predicted model, not a curated record.